RNAcentral lists this ribosomal RNA (411 nucleotides) under uncultured bacterium. RNAcentral's name for it is "bacterial SSU rRNA". It matches the Rfam family "Bacterial small subunit ribosomal RNA", at positions 64 to 507 of the family's 1533-position model. The record is from RNAcentral.
GCACGAGAAAGUGGAGCAAUCCAUGAGUAAAGUGGCGCACGGGUGAGUAACACGUGACUAACCUACCCUCGAGUGGGGAAUAACUUCGGGAAACCGAGGCUAAUACCGCAUAACACUUACGAGUCAAAGCAGCAAUGCGCUUGGGGAGGGGGUCGCGGCAGAUUAGCUAGUUGGUGAGGUAAUGGCUCACCAAGGCGAUGAUCUGUAUCCGGCCUGAGAGGGCGCACGGACACACUGGAACUGAAACACGGUCCAGACUCCUACGGGAGGCAGCAGUGGGGAAUUUUGCGCAAUGGGGGAAACCCUGACGCAGCAACGCCGCGUGGAGGAUGAAAUCCCUUGGGAUGUAAACUCCUUUCGAUCGGGACGAUUAUGACGGUACCGGAAGAAGAAGCCCCGGCUAACUUCGUG